This is a long non-coding RNA of Cimex lectularius (bed bug), 655 nucleotides long. RefSeq lists it as uncharacterized. The record is from RefSeq and is a predicted model, not a curated record. NCBI's taxonomy places the organism in Eukaryota, Metazoa, Arthropoda, Insecta, Hemiptera, Cimicidae. The transcript is spliced from 2 exons.
AAUACAUAUAUGGAUUUCUGAAUUAAAUACGUUAGUCGUGAUCUUUUUCCAAAAAGCUUGUAAAAACCUGUUAUAUAUUUACAGCGAAUGAGCGGAAAAAUAUUCCAUCGGGUAAAUUUCAAAGAAACUGUGAAACGUAGAUGACCCAUACCCUUAAGGGUGAAAAUGACUGAUAAUUCAACAAUAGUUUGAUAAGACAUCGUUAUAUUUAUCGGAUUGCUGUCAUUAUUCAAUGCAUAACCACGGUAACGGUUCUGGGUUCGAAUCCCGGGGGAGCUCAUGUUUUUUUUAAUUGACAAUGGUAUGAGAUAUGUACUGUAAAGUGGUCUGACCCCUCGUCCGUGACAUCCAGCCCAAUGGGAUAGUUCGACCAUCAUGACAAGUAUGACAAGCAUUACUUUACCUCACUUUUCAUAGAUAGACGAACGAACAGAUAAGUAAAAAAAGGAAUGCGAUUGAGGGCACUACAGCAAUGCUUAGGACGAAGCCCCGAAAUGCAAGCAUGAACAACAGGAUGAUUAAUUGUUUGGAAAGGUCAUCAGAGGCAUUGUGUGGGAAUCAUGGAGACCUCGACUUCAAUCCAUAGAAUAGCCCUUUUUUGAACAUGACAAAGCGACAAUAUUAAAGAUCAAUUCUGAUUCAUUUAAACAAAAAA